ACGAACGCUGGCGGCGUGCCUAAUACAUGCAAGUCGAACGGUCUUUCUAUGGAAGCUUGCUUCCACUGAGAAGAUAGUGGCGAACGGGUGAGUAACACGUGGGUAACCUGCCCAUAAGAGGGGGAUAACAUCCGGAAACGGGUGCUAAUACCGCAUAGUUUCUUGAUCGCAUGAUUGAGAAAGGAAAGACGGCCUUUGUGCUGUCGCUUAUGGAUGGACCCGCGGCGUAUUAGUUAGUUGGUGAGGUAAUGGCUCACCAAGACGAUGAUACGUAGCCGACCUGAGAGGGUGAUCGGCCACAUUGGGACUGAGACACGGCCCAAACUCCUACGGGAGGCAGCAGUAGGGAAUCUUCCGCAAUGGACGAAAGUCUGACGGAGCAACGCCGCGUGAGUGAAGAAGGUUUUCGGGAAUCGUAAAACUCUGUUGUCAGAGAAGAACAAGUUGGAGAGUAACUGCUCCAGCCUUGACGGUAUCUGACCAGAAAGCCACGGCUAACUACGUGCCAGCAGCAGC
Molecule: ribosomal RNA, 516 nt
Filed under: uncultured bacterium
Lineage: Bacteria
Description: bacterial SSU rRNA
Rfam family: Bacterial small subunit ribosomal RNA
Source: RNAcentral